This is a long non-coding RNA of Perognathus longimembris pacificus (Pacific pocket mouse), 416 nucleotides long. RefSeq lists it as uncharacterized. The transcript has 3 exons. The record is from RefSeq and is a predicted model, not a curated record. NCBI's taxonomy places the organism in Eukaryota, Metazoa, Chordata, Mammalia, Rodentia, Heteromyidae.
AAAAAGCCACCAAUGGCACUGUGGCUCAAGUGGUAGAGCCCUGGCCUUGAGCAAAAGAGCUCAGGAACAGAGCCCAGGCCCUGAGUUCAAGUACAAGGACUGGGACACUAACAGACACAACAACAUCCCAUAAAGGCCUAUAUGCUAAAUUCCACAAACAAGGAAGGAGUUCAAAGAGCUCUUGAAUAGGAAGGCUGGACAACAGCUCUCUCUCCACCCUUCAGUGCUCCUAGUGAAGGCAGAAGUAGACAGUGCCCUUAGGAGGCCCCAGGUAAAGGGAGUAGCAUAAGGAGAGGGAUUAUAAGGUAGUAUGUGCCCACCACUAGUAGGAACAGAGGAAAAAAGUAACAAAAUCGAUCCCUGAAGGCCAGGUUCACCUGACAGAGCGAUGCUGGGGUUUCACUGCAACAAUGGAU